RNAcentral lists this ribosomal RNA (781 nucleotides) under uncultured Neocallimastigales. RNAcentral describes it as "partial large subunit ribosomal RNA". It matches the Rfam family "Eukaryotic large subunit ribosomal RNA", at positions 18 to 640 of the family's 3401-position model. Lineage: Eukaryota; Fungi; Neocallimastigomycota; Neocallimastigomycetes; Neocallimastigales. The record is from RNAcentral.
UCAGACGAUGCGUCAUGCAUAUCAAUAAGCGGAGGAAAAGAAACUAACAAGGAUUCCCUUAGUAACGGCGAGUGAAGCGGGAAGAGCUCAAAUUUGAAAUCUUCAAGGUUCUACCUUGACGAAUUGUAGUUUAAAGAAGUGUUUUCUGUUAGUGGAAGUUUGGUAAAAGUUCUUUGGAAUAGGACAUCAUAGAGGGGUGAGAAUCCCGUAUUUGGACUCAUUAUUUCUAGCUUUGUGAUACACUUUCAAAGAGUCGGAUUGUUUGGGAAUGCAGUCCAAAAUGGGUGGUAAAUUUCAUCUAAAGCUAAAUAUUGGCGAGAGACCGAUAGCGAACAAGUACCGUGAGGGAAAGAUGAAAAGAACUUUGAAAAGAGAGUUAAACAGUACGUGAAAUUGUCAAAAGGGAAGCGUUUGACACCAGUGUUGUUUUCUCGAAAAUCAAUUAAAAAAGAGUUGGAUUUUGUGUUGUAUUGACCUUAACAGCUUGCUUCACUCUUUUCCUGCUUUUUUUAAUGCACUUUUCGUUUAACAAGUCAACAUCAGUUUCUUUUGUUGUAAAAGGGUCAUUGGAAGGUGGCUUUCUCUUCGGAGAAAGUGUUUAUAGCCUUUGAUCUCUGCAAUCGGAGAGACUGAGGUCUGCAGCGUAGAUCCUUCGGGGUUAGAUACAUUUGUGCUAAGCUACAGCUUUUCAUAGACAACUUGUUGACUAUGUUUAGUCUUGUAACUUACCCGCUUAUGCUAUUUUACCUACGCUUAGGAUGUUGAUAUGCAUGACUGAUAU